CUUGGUUUUAGUUUUUGGAUUUUUGAAGUCAAGUUGUGUGCAUACAAAUUGAGAUUUAAAAUAUUCUUUUCGUGUGCUUUUUUACUGAAACAGGACAGAUUCCUCUGCAAUGUAUCUGUCGAUUUUUAUUUUUUUUGGCAAAAUACUUUACAUGAUUAUCCUAUUGAACAUGAAAAAAAUGAAGAAUUUUCAUGACUUAUUAUUACUGGAUUGGUUUAUUCAUAAAAGGAUGGAAGCAUACAGGCAAGCAGCAGUGGGGAUAUGAAAGUUUGGAUCUUGUAAUUCAUAGACUUGUGGUUAUAAAUGUAAUCUUGGAUACAUGAUGGCAAUGUGUAGCAAGAUAUUCAAUGUGGUGAAUUAGUGGGAGAGAUGCUUUUCCUUAUCUGCAUGUUAGGUGCAUGGUUGUUGCAUGUCUGCCUUCAAGACUAAAGGGAAGACCUCAUUAACAGUUUAAGGUGCAAUAUGUCAUGCUGAUCAUAACAUUGAGCAACAAAUGGGGUCCAAUAUGUGUGUGUGUGAUUGUUUGAUGCAUAACAAAAGAAGGAUUGGAUGAGAAAUGAAGAUAUUUCUGGUAUAGUAUGUGCAUGUGUGAUAGAGUUCUCAGUACCUCUGGGUUGUGAGAGCAGCUUAAAUUUGCAGCUAAUGCAUCAAAAGCAAAAGGGCAAGGUUUCAGAUAAGAUGGAUGAAAGUUAUGAGGAAGGUAUUUGGAAAUAUUUUAAGUGAUAAAGGAUGUGGCCCAUGUUGGGAAUGGCUGGAGGAGGCUGACACCUGAUAGAUAACACUAUCUGGUUACAAUAUCACUGUUUUCUCUUUGGUUGCUUAUCUUUUAUGAUUUAAAGACAAUUUUGGAGAGAAAAAAGUAUAUAUACGUGGCCUAAAUUUAACUACAUUAAAGGCAUUGAAUGAAAUGGAGCAGGGCAAAGUGCAAAAAAUUUUGCAAGUCGUGAUAAUGAGCUUUCAUUAGGACUAGAUUUUUCUUAUUGCUAUGUCAUAUUGGAUAUAGAUACUUGCAAACCACCUCAUUUUCUUCUUUACGUACCAAGUUGUUGUCUUAUGCAUUUGUACUAUUAUAGCUUGCUCAUUUGACUGAUGUUUACUUUAUUUACACGAUAAUAUUUCUAUUUUUGACAGGAAUUGAGGCUAGAGGCUUUAUAUUUGGUCCUCCUAUUGCUCUAGCAAUUGGUGCAAAGUUUGUCCCAUUGAGAAAACCAAGAAAAUUACCAGGUAUUUCAAUUAUCCUAUGAUGAUAUGUUCAUUCAAAUUGUAUUGUUGUAAUAAUGGAUUAAAUAGAAAUUUGCAUGUGUUCAUUGAGUCAUCAUAACCAUAUUGAGGGAGCCAAUUACUAUAACCGUAUCCAAGAAGCAUUAUACACUGGUUAGCAUUUUGAUUAUUUUAAUAUUUUUAGAUACUGACAAGUAGCAUUAUACACUGGUUAACAAUUUGAAUAUUUUAAUAUUUUUAGAUACUGACAAGUAUAGUCUCACGAGAUGGUAAUGUGCUAAGUUGCAUGGCUGCAUGAGUUGGUGUCUUUGGGCUGCACUUAAAAUAAAGUUGGACCUACCAUGAGUUGACAAUUUGGCCGGAUGUUCAGGUCAAUAUUUUCAUAUAUUUGAUAGUUACGACCAUAUAAAAUCCCAAGUGUUAAGGCUUGUAAAAAUUGUUGGCACCUUGACAGUUUAAACUUUUAGGGUCAAUUGGUUAGUUAACAUGGUAUCAAAGCCAAAAUAUCAUAUGUUAAAUCCCUAUGUAAGCCAAUUUUUUCUUCAUACCACCCAUUCAUUAUCCUGAAUCUCUUCUCUUGGCUUGUUCUCGGUUUGUUAUGGAGUCAUUCUUGACUUGUUCAUGCCUUCAUGUGUUUGGUCAAGGCCACAUGUGAGGGUGGAUGUUAAGGUCUGAUAUAACAACAAUACCAAUUUCCAUUCAACAAAGACAAAUAAUUAACAUAUACCAUGAACUUGUGAUAACAACUAUGAGAUGAUGCAUAUUAUAUUAUAAACUUUAUAACUCAUAUUAUAUAUCAAGUUUUUAAAUACAGAUAUUGAAUCCAUACCCUUUUUUUCAUUGGAAUUGUGUGUUAUCGAUAUGUUAAUGGUAUUGUGAUGCGGCACCAAGAAAGUCAAGAUAGCAAAUUGGAAAGAGAAAUAAAAUGAAAAGAAAACAAAGAAGUCAAGAGAAGCCAACUUUAGGAUUUUCAAUUUGUCAUUUCAAGCUGUCUCCUUCGAUACAAUAGGAGUCUUUAAAUAGACUCUCAAAUAAGAUGGAAAUAAAAUCAUAUCCUAAUAAAAGUGGAAAUCAUAUAGCAUAAAAAAGAAUGAAUACCAUCGAUGGCUAUCAAUAUACUUUCAAUGGUACCAUUGGCAUGCACCAGUAUGGACCGGUAUUGCCAAUGAAGAUGGUUUUGGUGUCCUAGCAUUUGUGUUGGUGCUGGUUUCACAUCAGAUCAGAAUGGUAUUGAUGGUACCAUUCUGUUCCAGUUGUUUUUUUUGAAUCCGCGCAUAUAGCAUAUGGCAUGUUUUCAUUCAUGUAAGAUCAAGCUAACCAAACUCUUGAUCUGGAAGUGAAGUGGUCCAAACGGGUUUUCAAAUGAGAACAAAAUUAAUCAAGCUUAUGCCAAACCAAAUCAACCUAAGGAGGUUGGCUCGAUUUAGCCUUAUGCUGACCUAAGACCAUCUACACUCUUGCUAGCAGUCAAGGUUUUACAAUAUUGUUACCAGAUCCUGUGCAGGUACUAUCUUGGUAUGGUGUCGGUACACGCGGUAUGAUGGUUGGAUGUCAAAUUUGCUAGCAACCCUUGCAUACUGUGAAAUUUUGUUAUUGUUUUAAAGAAAGUGGUCUCCAAGCACUUCAAGCACUUCACCAAUUUUGGGAUCUUUGAAUUUCUCAUACUGUUUAAUAAAUCUUUUGAGGUCCAUAGUUCAGAGUAUGGGCUUUUAUUUAGUCACUGUAAUGCUGUUCUGUUUUCUUUUUUUUUUUCCUCCCUGAGCACAGUCAUCAUGAUACCAUUAUGGAUCAAUUUUAGUUUGCUUCUUUGUUUCAUUUCUUAUGUUCUUAGAUCUGUGUUUUGGAGAUUGUGGCUGGAGUAUAUUAUAAUCAUCUUAAUGGGCCUUUCUUAUAAUAUAUGUUUAGGAGAAGUCAUUUCAGAGGAAUAUGUCCUGGAAUAUGGAACCGAUUGUCUUCAAAUGCACAUUGGUGCAGUCCAACCAGGAGAUCGUGCUCUAGUAGUUGAUGAUUUGAUUGCAACUGGGGGAACUCUCUGUGCUGCCAUAAAAUUACUGGGUAUGUGUGAUAGGAACAUGUUAUAGUUAUUAUCCUCUGGUAGCAUUGGAGUUCAUGCAAUUCUUUUAAUUGCUGGCAAAGUAAAUAGAGCUAGUGAUAUUUUUCAACUGAAUAAAUUGAAGUUUGUGGUCAAAAGGAGAGACCUCAGUAAUCUUUGAGUUAGGAUGAGAAACAGUUCACUAGGCUUCAAAACUAUUAGAAACUUGGAAGAAUUUAAUAAUUUUUGAUGUCAUAAACUUACACUUGGUCUUGUUUAACGCAAUUGACUUUGAGAACUAGAAGUUUGCUUGUAAUUAUACCUAAGAUUCUCAUUCCUACAGUCUUUACCCAGUCAUCAGUUUAUCUGGGUUACAAGAGCAUGAAGUAAAGACUCAAGUAGAUGAGGAUUGUUUUUUACAGAAAUUCUACCUGUUCUCCCUUAUUUCUCUUGAGGAGCAUAACCAAAUUUAACAUAUUUUUCAUAGAAGGAAGAAUGUGUAGUCUCACCCAAAUCACUAAUAAUGUUGCUAAUCAGAAUCUGUUUGGUGGUUCUAGCCUAGGUUAGUCUUGGUACAAAUCUGGUACAACCAUGCUUAUAAGAUCAAACUAAUCGAAGGAAUACCUUCUACAAAAUUUAAUGGUCUCAACCCAUCUGAGAAACCUGACUUAUAAGCUGUAAGUUGUGCUUGGAAAAAACUUUGCUAUGCCCAACAACAUUGAGUUUCGAUCAUUAAAAAAUUUCCCAUUUUUUUUGUCAAGCCUUAAUGCUAAUUCUUCCAAAACUGUGAUACUAUUUAAAUAUUCAAUCCGCAGGCAUAAUUCUUGGCAACAUUUCUUUUUCCCAUCAUGAACUAUUUUGCACUUUAUUAGGUCACUUCAGCUCAUGUUUCUUUGUUAGACCGCUAUUAUCUGUAUGCCAAUUGUUCCUACAGAGCGUGCUGGGGCUGAAGUGGUUGAAUGUGCAUGUGUGAUUGAACUUCCAGAGCUUAAGGUACAUCCAACAAGUCAUCCUUGUUUUCCUUACACUCGACAUAAUGAUUCUGAUGCUUACAUUGUUAUUUAGGCAUUUUAUUUACAAUUUUCAAGUGCUAAGUGUGAAGUGCUUGAGUGGGAUGUUGUGGCUUUAAUUACUACCUUUUUUUUUUGUUGUGUGUGUGUAAUAAUCUCUAUUUACUUUAUCUGUUCUGAGCAUACAGAUGUGCAUAUUCAUGUAUGUGCUACAACUUAUAUCAAAUGACUCAACCCACAUCAUCUUCUGUAGUUAUCUUCCUUUGCAUGUGUGUGCUUUAUGGAUGAAAACUUAAAUAUUAAAUUUUUCCCAUCAUCAAGUAGGAUUCAAUCUUUCCCCUAUUUCGAUUUGCUUUGUUUUGUCUCUCUGAAGUUGUGCUUAAUCUUUUUGUUUUAGCUUUCUUUUGAUUUGAUUUAAUAUUAAUAUUAUUUCUCUUUUCUUUUGUAUCUUGGAAGAAUCUGAUUCCAGAUUACUGAGAACAUGUUUCCUCUUCUCUUGUGAUGAGUUCGUUGUUCUUUUAUGGUAGCAUUUGUAAAGAAAUUCUCGUACCUUGUUGAUAUAUCUUUGCUUAUGAUGUUCCUUGCGAGACAUUAUGUUACUUAGAAGUCAGAUCCACCAUGCACAGAUUAACUCAUCCAAAAAUGAAUUUGUUGUGGCAUUCAUAAACAUCUAUAGCUAGCUUAAGUUUUUGUUCAGCACAUUACGUGGAACAUGAAUAUAUCGAAGCUCGUUGAAGAUUAACCCUUAUGUGUCUUUGCCAAAUCUGUAAGAUGGAGAUCAAUAUAUAAAUCUUUUCAUUGUAGUUGCAAAUGCUUUUGAUCUAAAUUUCUGUUUCUUUUACUGCGCGUCAUGUAUGAUUCUAUUUAGUCCUUUUUGUCAAUUUAAUUGUGCUUUUCAUGUCCAAUAAACUUUGUAUCUGGGUUAGUGCUAUAUGCCUCCUUGUAACUUCUCUAUUGCAGCAGCCUUUUUUUCAGCAUAUUGUGUUUCUCCAUCAGUCUUAUUUAAUUCUAAACAAUGAUCAAUGGGUCUCUCAGUAUACCUUAUUUCUUAAUCCUCCUCAUCCAUUCAAGCGAUCCAAUUUGAGAGAGAAGGAAUCUUUUCCUUCAAUGCACUCAAGUCAAAUCUUACAGAAAAACAAUUUAAAACAAAAUUUAUAGGACAUAGAAAGCAGGUAUUCUACCCUUUUUACUUUUAAAAAUCAGGAUACAAAACAAUGAUGCAAGACUUUUGUUUGUACUAGUGAGAGGUUGGUCUCUCUGAACCUAAGUCGGACUCCUCAUCUGGUUAAAGCGGCAGAAUUCUUCAAAAAUAAGAAACCAUAAAAAUUACUCAAGCAGGCUAAAAAUCCAGACCUCGACUCCUACAUUAACUUAUUGUUACAUCACAUUCUGCUAUUUUUUAUUUUUUAUUUUGGUGCAAAUGGAUGGUCACACCACUCCGGUGUGAGAGCAUCCCAAGAAAUCAAGGUAUAAAAAGUCCCGCAGUCCCGGCGGGCAAGUGCCACCCUAUCUCCAAACCCGGUUCUUGGAGUAUCUGCCAUAUAAGAAGUAACCCAAUCAGCCGCGUGGUUAAAUCACAUUUCUCAUGGAUUUAGGGGAUUUUGGCGGAUCAAAUAGUCUAGAAUGAGGUCACUUUUCUGAACAUAUUGGACUAAACUCUCUUAUCAGUAUAAUUGCCUUAAACUUGUACUCAGCAUAUGCCUGCUGGCAAUAAUAUAUAGAUUUCUGAAAUAGUAGUUUACGGGGAGGCUUCCCACCUUCCUGCAUGUCAAGUGUUCUAAUAGUAUCUGGAGGACGUCUUAAAACAUUACAUGUAAUCCCAGGGGAAAGCAUCUUAUGGACAUUAUAUUAUUGAACGCAUUGAACAGCAAUGGGAGUUCAUGUGCCACUGCUGUGAUCUAAAAUUGGUUGUCUGAUAUGCAACUAAUACUGUUUUAAUUUUCCUCUUAUUGUGUUUGUGCUGAUAUUGUUGGAUAAAGCUGUUGCUUAUUAUUCACCUCAUCUUCUAAACUAAUAUCUCUAAUGUUUUGGUCUGGAAUUUUGGUUCCCGAGCUUUGUCAACUUCUUACAAAUAACAAGUAGCAAAUACGAAGGAAAUAGCUUAAAUACUUGAGCACGUAAUAGAAUCUUGAAUAUAUGUGCAGGGCCGUGAAAGGUUAAAUGGUAAGCCAUUAUACAUACUUGUGGAGUCCGGCUGAUGAUACUUAGCUCUCGUUCAUCUGAUGGGAGUCACGGUUCUGUACAUUAGAGGCUUUCAUUCCAGGUGUUGUGGAUGCAGGCAUCGUUUCUGAUUAUUUCACUGCCCUUCGAGGCUUUCUAUUUUUUAUGUUCCUCAUUUCAUGUCAAAACUGGAGUUAUGCAAUCAAACUACAUUGUUAUUUGAGAAAAUUCGAAUCUGAUGUGAUUUUUUUUUCAAUGCAUUUUUCAGCACAGAAGCACUGUAGCAUCACAAAGACUCAGGCAUUGUGACUCUUAUAUAUCUAGAUAUUGACCGAGAAGUGAACAAAAGCAGGUGUUUGGAGGAAUCAUUCUUUCUGCCAUCUAUUCUACGCUACUACUAAACUCUAAACACCCAAGCACCGCACCGACCCUUAGGCUGCAUAUGGUCCCAUCUUAAAUAAAUUUAUCUCCCAUGGUACAUUUCUUAGGUCAAAGGAGCAAACAGGAUAUGUCACGUCCUGGGACAUCAUGUUAUGUCAUCGAGGGAUGGGUCCACGGUAAUACGAAGUUAAAAAUUUAUUUUCUUAAAUAUAAUGACAGAUGCAUCAUAAAUAAAUAUUUAAUUUAAAUAUUUAAUUAAAUUAAAAUUGUUUUAGAAUAUUUAAAUUUAAAGAUGAAAUAAUUCAAGUCUUAAAAUUUAUAAUAGCUAUAAUUCUUAGAUUGAAUUUUUAGUAUAAAAUUUUUAAGUUUGCUUUGCUGAUUUUUAAGUUUGGAUUUAUUUAUCAUCAGUCUUAGUCUUAUUUUUCUGUAUAUGAAAAAGAAAAUAAAAAAAAUAUGAGUUAUACUAGUUCAGUAAGUAGAUUUCUGCUUUCUUAUCGGUUCAAACAUAAGUUUUUUAUGAUAAUGCAUCAUUUAGCAAAUAAUAAUUAUAGUAAACAUAAAUAUUUUAUAAAGUGUAUAAUAAAAUAAGUUAUAAGUUCAUCAUGCAUGUAUAAAUCAUGUAUAUUUUAUAAUCAUGAAUCAUAAAUCAUUUCUAUCAUAUAUUUGUGUCAUGUUUCAAAAAUAUUACUCAUAAAUGUUCAUGCUAAGGUCACUAUUAUAUCCAUGACAGAGUCAUAUUUCUUAAUCGACAGAGUUCUUAAUUCAUGUGCUAAUUUUAUAUCUAUCGGCAGCAUCAUGUUUCGCGUGGAUGCUAGCUUCGGAUAUCGACCUUUCCGAAGGAAUUCAUUUAUAGGUAUCUGGGAGUUUUUGAAAUUUUUAUAUUUUUUUCUUAAAUCAUACAUAUACGUAGAAUAAAAUUUCAUAUUUUAUAAUCAUGUAAUUUUUAUAAAAUAUAUUCAUGCAAUCAAUGCUCAUAAUAAAAUAUGUUUUUUUAUAUCACAUAUACUGUCUUGAUUUUACAAAAAAUAUGACUUCAUGAAUAAGAGAUUAUAUGCAUGAAAAUCAUGAAGAUUUAAAAAUAAAUAAGGAGCAUAAGAUCUGCAUAUCUCGAUCGUUCUGGACUUUUUAAUCUUUUUUAAAGGAAUCGGACAAUUCUAUUUAAAAUAUUAAAUUAUCAAUAAAUUUUGUUUCAUAUAUUUAAUAAAAUUACAUAAUAUAAGAAGAUGAUCGAUUUGAUGAUCAAUCCAAUAAAUUUUUUCUUUCGGUUCUAAAUCGAUUUAAGGUCAUAGGUCUCUAGGAGUGGAGAAGAUGGCCUAAUAGGGGAUUCAUAGGGCUUUUUAGAGAGAGAAAAUUUUUAGAGAGAGAAAGAUCAAUUUUAGAGAGAGAAAGACUUAAGAGAGAGAUGAGAGAAAUUUUUUUUCAUGUGUAUUUUAUUAUUAUUAUUAUUAUUAUAAUAUAUAUAUAUAUUUUAUUAUAAUAAUAAUAAUAAUUAUUAUUAUAUAUAUAUAUUUUUUUCUUUUCUUUUUCUUUUUUUUUAUUAUUAUUAUAUAUAUAUAUAUUUUCUUUUCUUUUUCUUUUCUUUUUCCCGUGGUCUUCUUUGGCCGAAACAGGGGACCUAGAGAUCCCCUUGUCUUUGACCAACCGUUCACGAUCGUACCUUGCCCGACGGUGAUCGACGGCAAGGGGCGAUCCUCUUGGAUUCAAAGAGUCCAGAGUCGGCGGUCGACGAUGACUGUCGGUGCCUUAAAAAUCAGGAAAAGGGAGAGGCCGAACAGGGCUUCUUUUUCUGAUGAAAUCCGACGACUCCUGUUGCCGACAGUCGUACCUACCGGCACGAAAAAGAAGGGAGAGAAGAGAGGAAGAGGAGGAAGGAUUUACCACAGCCUCCGAUGACUCCCAUCGGUGUGAAAUCGCGACGAGCAUGAGUCGAGGGGCCGCGGCUUUAAUCGAAAAAAUCACGGUGAUUGUUAUGUCCUCUCUUACAGGAGAGGAGGGGGUUCUUAUAAGGCUUGUCCUAUGGUUCUUUAAUGGCCCUAGGACUCUAAUUCCUGAUCGGAAUCGAGGAAGGAGAAGACUUCGAUCGGGAGUCUUCUUCCCCCUCUUUUUUUUUUUUUUUUCUGGGUGGGCUUAGUGGGCUUUAGGCCCAAUGGGUCGGAUUAUCACAUUCUACCCCCUUUAAAAAAAAUUUCGUCCUCGAAAUUUAACAUACCUUCAUUUUCAAAUAAGUGUGGAUAUCUCGUCUUCAUAUCAUUUUCAAGCUCCCAAGUAGUCUUUCUCUCUUCAUGAAUCUUCACAUAUGGAAUGAUGCGCCAUCUUAGAACUUGCUCUUUUCGAUCAAUAAUUCGGAGAGUAAAUUCUUCAUAGGUUAAGUCUUCAUGAACUUGCAAUGGCUCAUACUUUAUCACAUUAUUUGGAUCAGGUACAAACUUUCUCAGUAGUGAAACAUGAAAGACAUUGUGCACUUUGGAUAAAUCUGAUGGUAAAGCUAGUUCGUAAGCAACAUCUCCUACUCGAUUUAAAAUUUCAAAAGAUCCAAUAUAUCGCGGACUCAGUUUGUCAUAUCUCGCAAACCUCAUGACACCCUUAGUAGGUGAUACUUUUAGAAAAACAUGCUCACUAACCUAAAAUUCUAAUUCUUUUCUUUUUCUAUCUGCUCAACUCUUCUGUCUAUCCUGUGUUGUUUGAGUCUUCUUUUGAUCAGAUAAAUUUUGUCUCUAGCAUCUUGAACUAACUCGGGACCUAUUAAUUUUUUUUCACCCACUUCAUCCCAAUACAGAGGAGAUCUACACUUUCUUCCAUAUAGGGCUUCAUAGGGUGCCAUCCGGAUACUAGAAUUAAAACUGUUGUUAUAUGCAAAUUCAAUCAAUGUCACAUGAUUAUCCCAAUGUCCUCCGAAAUCAAAAGCACAAGCUCUUAACAUAUCCUCAAGAAUUUGAAUUGUCCUUUCAGAUUGGCCAUCGGUCUGAGGAUGGAAAGCAGUACUAAGCCUCAAUUCUGUCUCCAAAGCAUCUUGAAAAUUUUUUCAAAAUCUAGAUACGAAUCGUGGAUCUCGAUCAGACACAAUAUUUAUUGGAACACCAUGCAAGCGUACAAUACCAUGAAUAUACAUCCGGGCUAACUUAUCAAGUGGAGUGCCAACUCGAAAAGAUAGAAAGUGAGCUGAUUUAGUAAGUCGAUCAACAAUCAUCCACACUGCAUCAUUUUUUCUUGCUGUCCUUGGAAGUCCAGUAACGAAAUCCAUUAUGAUAUGCUUCCAUUUUCAUUCUGGUAUCUCUAAUGGUUUUAGCAAACCAACAGGUCUUUGAUGUUCGGCUUUCACUUGCUGGCAUACCAAGCAUUGAGAUACAAAUCGAGCUAUCUCCUGCUUCAUUCUAUUCCACCAGAUUUAUGGGCUUCUUCCAAAAUUUUUUUUUUAGUUCAGGAUCUCUUGGUAUACAUAAUCUGUUCCUAAAAUAAAGAGUUUCAUCUGUAUGUAACCUAAACUCAGUUCAUAGCCCUUUCUCCAUGUCCUUGUUAAACUGACACAAACGAAUAUCAUUUUGUUGGGCCGUUUUUAUCUGUUCGAUCAAUGCUGGUUGUACCGUUAAAUUUGCUAACACAUUCUUAACAUCAGUACAAGUCACUUCAAUUUGCAAAUCUUCGAGAUCCCUCAGAAUUUGUUGAUGAAAUGAUAGCAGAGUCAUCACAUUUGUUAAAAACUUCCUACUAAGUGCAUCUGCCACCAUAUUGGCUUUUUCAGAGUGAUAUUUAAUAUUUAGAUCAUAAUCUUUUAAUAGUUCAAGCCAUCUUCUUUGUCUCAUGGUUAGCUCUUUUUGAGUAAAUAAGUAUUUCAAGCUUUUAUGAUCAGUAAAGAUUUCACAUGAUUCUCCAUAUAAAUAGUGUCACUAAAUCUUUAAAGUAAAAAUAAUAGCUGCUAACUCCAAAUCAUGUAUCGGAUAAUUCUUCUCAUAAGCUUUUAGUUGUCGAGAAGCAUAAGUUAUGACCUUAUCGUUCUGCAUCAACACAUAAUCUAAUCCCUUCUUGAAAGCAUCACUAUAAAUGACAAAUCCUCCAUUAUUAGAUAGUAAAGUAAGAACUGGGGCAGAUAUCAAUCGUUGCUUUAGAUCUUGAAUUCUGCUCACAUUUCCUGCUCUAUUCAAAUUUUAUUCGUUUCUAAGUUAAGCGGGUUAGAGGAAUUGCAAUUUGAGAAAAUCCCUCGACGAAUACUUUUANNNNNNNNNNNNNNNNNNNNGAUCUCCUUAGAAUUACAUGGUCGAGGAAGAUAAUACUCUCCAACCAGAACUCACACUUGCUAAGCUAGGCGAAGAGCUUCUCUUCUCCCAAGGUCUGAAACAUAAUCUUCAAAUGUCUCUCAUAUUCCUCUAUAUUUUUAGAAUAAACUAGGAUAUCAUCAAUAAAAACAACAACGAAUUGAUCCAGAUACGGCUUGAAAAUCCUGUUCAUCAUAUCCAUAAAAGCAGCCGGUGCAUUGGUUAGUCCAAAAGGCAUUACUAAAAAUUCAUAAUGACCAUACCUGGUUCUAAAUGCAGUCUUAGGUACAUCUUCAUCUCUAAUUCGUAGUUGAUGAUAAUCUGAUCGUAAGUCAAUUUUGGAGAAAACUUGUGCACCUUGAAGUUGAUUAAAUAAGUCAUCUAUUCGAGGAAGAGGAUAUUUAUUUUUUAUGGUUACCUUGUUCAACUCUCGAUAGUCAAUGCAUAAAUAUAUGCUCCCAUUUUUCUUUUUCACAAAUAACACAGGAGCUCCCCAGGGUGAUGUACUUGAUCGGACAAACUUUUUAUUCAAAAGUUCUUGCAAUUGAUCCUUUAAUUCUCGUAAUUCUACAGGAGCCAUCCGAUAAGGAGGUUUUGAUAUAGGUUCGGUUCCUGGUGUGAUAUCAAUUUUAAAUUCAAUCUCACGAUCUGGGGGUAGUCCGGGUAGUUUAUCUGAAAAAAUAUCAGAAAAUUCUUUGACAAUUGGGAUAUUGUCCAACUUUAUUUUUUCCUUCUCGGCAUCUACUACAUGGACCAAAAAUACUUUGCAUCCUUUCCUCAAAGCUUUUUUUGCAUUCAUGAUUGAGAUAAUACCCAAAGAUUGUUUGGGUUCCAUAUUAUGAACUUCGCUUUGAAAGAAAAAUUGCGGUUCAUCCGAAAUUUGAAAUACCACUCUUUUUCUAAAACGAGCAAUAUGUGCAUGGUACGAAGAUAACCAGUUCAUCCCAAGAAUCAAUAUGUGCAUGGUACUUCUAUUUGGAUUAUGCAAUUCUUAAAAAUAAUAUUAGCAACAACAAUAUUUUUAAAAGGUGUGCUAACAUAUAAUGGUUCAUUUAGUUUCUCAGGCACACAAUUCAAAGAAGUAGCAAACUUGAGAGAUAUAAAAGAGUGAGAAGAGCCAGAAUCGAAUAGCACACGAGCAUGAAUAGAAUUGACUGGGAUAGUAUUUGUCACCACUUGAUCACUUGCAUUAGCCUCAUGUUGGUUUAAAGCAAACACUCGUGCAUUUUCUUUCUGUUUUUGAUCAACUGGUUUGUUAGGUCUAGAGUCAUCUUUUUUCUUAUUUGGGUAAUCACGAGCUAUAUGUCCUUUCUCGCCACAUAAGAAGCAUGCUCCUAUCCUCUUGAGACAAAGUCCAUUAUGAUUUUUCAAUUCAGACUCCACUUUCAAAGCUCGCUCCAGUACGUCCUUGUAGUUAUUGAAAAUAUGAGAAGACAGACGGGACCGAAUUUCAUAUCUUAAACUUUGUUCGAAUCUGUUGGCUUUACUCCUUUCGAACUUCAUAAGCUGGGGGCAGAAGCGGCCUAGCUCAUUAAAUUUGUUAGCAUAUUCUAAUACAGUCAUAUCAUCCUUUUGCUUUAAGGCUAGAAACUCAUUUUCUUUUAUCAAUCUCAUUGUCCCAGGGAAGUACUGAUCAUAAAAUAUCUCUUUGAACUCUUCCCAAGUGAGCUGAUCAUCAUUAUUCCCAUAAGCAGUUUUUAUUGCAGUCCACCAAAACUCAGCAUUCCCUUUUAACAUAGGAACAGCUAAUCUGACCUUUGCAUUCUCAAGGUAUUGCAGGGCAUCAAACAUCUUCUCCAUCUCUCAAAUCCAUGUCUCUGCAGUCAUAGGAUCAGAUCCACCCUCGAAUAGAGGUGGGUUGAGUCUUCUGAAUCUCUUGUAGUAUGACUUCAUAGAUAAUGUAGGUCGAGGAGCAGUUUGUACCUGCUGCUGGAUAAGCUGAGCCACCACUUGACAUACACCAGCAAUAUCCACCUGAGUGGUCGGUGCAUCAGGAGCCCGCUCAACUGGUUGAUUGGCAGCUCCCCACGAUGUUAAUCUUACUUUUCUUGCUCUUCUUGUCCUAGCAGCCAUAUUUGCCAAGAUCUCCUCCUCUCUAUCGCUCAUCGCUUCCUAGUUAAAUGCCAACAUUAUUACAUUAUUUUAUAACAGAGUUGUAGUACAGUUAAUAAUUUAAGUCAGAGUCUAACUAUGCGUAAUCUAACUACCCACUGUUAGGUUUUAGGUUCUACCCUUGAUUAAACCUAUCGCUCUGAUACCAUAAAAUGUCACGCCUCGAAUCCGAGACAUAACACGGCCAUGCCACCGAGGGAUGGGCCCACGAUAACAUGAAGCCAAAAAUUCAUCUUCUUAAACAUAAUGACAGGUGCAUCAUAAAUAAAUAUAAUAAUAAAGUUCAAUUCAAAUAUUUAAUUAAACCAAAAUUAGUUCAGAGCAUCUAAAUCCAAAGAUGAAAUAAUCCAAGCCUCAAAAUUCAUAAUAGCUACAAUCCUUAGACUGAAUUCUUAGUACAAAAUUUUCAAGCUUGCUUUGUUGAUUUUAAAGUUUGGAUUUUCUUGUCACCAGUCCUAGUCUUAUUUCUCUGUACAUGGAAAAGAAAACAAAAAGAAUAUGAGCUACACUAGUUCAAUAAGUAGACUUUCGCUUCCUUACCGGUUCAAGCAUUAGUUUUCUAUGAUAAUGCAUCAUUUAGCAAAUAACAAUUAUUGUAAAAAUAAAUAUUUCAUAGAGUGUAUAAUAAAACAAGUUAUAAGCUCUUCAUGCAUGCAUAAAUCAUGUAUAUUUCACAAUCAUGAAUCAUAAAUCAUUUCUGUCAUGUAUUUGUGUCAUAUUUCAAAAAUAUUGCUCACAGAUGUUCGUGCUAAGGUCACUAUUAUACCCGUGACAGGGUCAUGUUUUUUAAUCGACAGAGUUUUUAAUUCAUGUGCCAAUUUUAUACCCGCUAGCAGGGUCAUGUUUUAUGUGGAUGCUAGUUCAGGAUGUCGACCUUUCCGAAAGAAUUCAUUCAUAGCUAUCUGAGAGCAUUUGAAAUCUUUAUAUCUUUUUCUUAAACCAUAUAUAUACAUAGAAUAAAAUCUCAUGCUUCAUAAUCAUGCAACUUUUAUAAAAUACAUGCAUGCAAUCAAUGCUCAUCCUGAUUUUAUGAAAAAUAUGACAUAUACUUUUAUAAAACAUGCUUUUUCAUAUCACAUAUGCUGAUUCUGAUUUUACGAAAAAUAUGACUUCAUCAAUAAGAGAAUAUAUGCAUGAAAAUCAUGGAGAUUUAAAAAUAAAUAAGGAGCGUAAGAUCUACAUACCUCGAUCGUCUUGGAUCUUUUAAUCUUCCUUAAAGAAAUCGGACAGUCCUAUUUAAAAUAUUAAAUCAUCAAUAAAUUUUAUUUCAUAUAUUUAAUAAAAUUACAUAAUAUAAGGAGAUGAUCGAUUUGAUGAUCAGUCCAAUAAAUCUUCUCCUUCGGCUGUAAACUAAUUUAAGGUCAUAGAUCUCUAGGAGUGGAGAAGAUGGCCUAAUAGGGGAUCCAUAGGGCUUCUUAGAGAGAGAAAAUUUUUAGAGAAAGAAAGUAGAGAGAGAAAGUUCAAUUUUAGAGAGAGAUGAGAGAAACUUUCUCUCAUGUGUAUUAUUUAUUAUUAUUAUUAUUAUUAUUGUUAUUAUAUAUAUUUUCUUUUCUUUUUCUUUUUUUAUAAUAAUAAUAAUAAUAAUAAUAAUAAUUAUAUAUAUAUAUUUUUUUUCUUUUUUUAUUUUUCUUUUUCUUUUAUUAUUAUUAUUAUAAUUAUUAUAAUAAUAAUAAUUAUUAUAUAUAUUUUUUUCUUUUCUUUUUUCUUUUUCUUUUUCUUUUUCUUUUCUUUUUCUUUUCGUUUCUUUUUCUCGUGGCCUUCUUUGGCCGAAACAGGGGACCUAGAGGUCCCCUUGUCUUUGACCGACCAUUCACGGCCGUACCUUGCCUGGUGGUGGCCGGCGGCAAGGGGCGACCCUCUCUCUCGGAUUCGGAGAGGCCAGAGCCGAUGGUCGGCGGUGACCGUCGGCGCCUUAAAAAUCAGGAAAAGGGAGAGGUCGAACAUGGCUUCCCUUUCCGAUGAAAUCCGACGACUCCUGUCGCCGGCAGUCGUGCCCACUGGUACGGAAAAGAAGGGAAAGAGGAGAGGAAGAGGAGGAAGGACUUACCACAGCCUCCGAUGACUUCUGGCGGCGUGAAAUUAUGGCGAGUACGAGUCGAGGGGCCGCGGCUUUAAUCGAAAAAAUCGGAGAGGAAUUCCGACGAUCGUCGGUGAUUGUUAUGUCCUCUCUUAGAGGAAAGGAGGGGGUUCUUAUAGGGCUCGUCCUAGGGUCCUUUAAUGGCCCUAUGACUUUGAUUCCUGAUCGAAAUCGGGGGAGGACAAGACUCCGAUCGGGAGUCUUCUUCCCCCUCUUUUUUUUUUGCUGGAUGUGCUUAGUGGGCUUUAGGCCCAAUAGACCGGGUUAUCACAGGAUAUAUCUUCUCCAAUAUCCGUGAUUGAAUAAUAAAAAAUUCUUUAACAAAUCACCUGUUUUACUUCUAAUUUGUAUUGGCUAUCUCAAAACUAUAUUUUAACUUCUAUAAGAGGCCUCGCUUUAAUGUAACAGACUGCCGUUAGACCUAAUUAUCCAUCAGAAUUAAGGAAGCCUACUUUUACUGCAGUAAUAGCCCAAGUCCUUGGCCUGGUUGGUUGCAGUGAUUUGUUUCAGUUAUGAGUAGCCUUUUCACUGAGAGCACCAUUACUAAUUGUGAGAUCCCUUAAUCUCACUACAAUAGAAAAAGGAGGUCGGGUUUCUGCUGUGCACUGUACGGUGUAGUGUACAGUGCACCGUUCAUCAUGGCGCACCAUUCAUCGUGCGGUGGAUGGAUGGCUGUGCGUGGCUGUGCAUGGCCAUCCAUUGCAUGAUGGACGGGGCGUGCUGUGCACCGCACGGUGUGGUGCACAACGGAGGAUUUGUGCGUAUUUGAAGCAGACUACUUGCCAUCACUUCUUACAAUGUAAACAAUAUGAUAAAAGAGAGCUAUGACAAUGAUCCCGCUUUGUGAGCUACGGCAUGGAUGCCGAUACACCUUUCUUUGAUGCAGCAUUACCUUGUCAGAAUGCAACUGGCAAACAAUAUUGGCCCCGAAUUUGGAGGGCUCUAAGCUCUUAUGGGUUCUACCAGGUUUGUAGGGAAAACCAGGACUCAUACCGUUCAUCUCAGGACUCUGUAUGACCUUCAUGGUGGUGUCAUUCAUUUGGUAGUCCUAGUACUCGACUGGAAGUCAUUUGGAUUUGGUGGUACUAUGCUACAUAUUGCUCUUUUUUCAGUCAUGCCAAUUUUGCCAUGAUUGGAUUAAAAAUCUAGUGAAGCACAAGAUUGGAGGUCUGAAUGAUAGAAAGACCGACCUAGUUUAAGAUGCUAGGCUCAAAGAAAUUACUAAACUUAUCUCAAUUUGAUGGGGCACAUUGUGUGUAGCCCCUAUAACCAUUAGGAUAAUGAGAACUAACUAUGAAACUGGUCUGGGCCCUAUAGCGAUGCUCAAAGAACCAUGGGUAGCGUUUGUUGCACCGCUUUAUUCGUCUCCCCGGGAGGAGGAAGUUGUUACGAUUCACAGGACUGUGAUUCAAAGAGGACUAAAAAUUGCACCACCCAGUGAUUUUUUUUUUCGUUUUAAAUUUGAGAAAUUACUAAUUUCUUCAAACAUUACUCUUUUUGUGGAAGAUGGGAGGGCUAUCGUAGCUUUAGUGUGGUCACCACCAAUCAUUUCCAAUCACUUCUAAGAAAUGACGGCAGGUCAAAUACGUGGUAAACAUGUUUGAAUAUUUGAACCAAGUAAAAAGGCAAGAGAAUUGCCAGAAUAAUGCUUUCGAAAACUGGUCAAAGGAAAAGAUGGAUGAUAAUUUGAACAAAAAGGUAGAAGAUUUGGUUCAUUGUGCCUUCCAAAAUGAGUUGAUGGAUUAUAUAGAAGAUAAUUAAAGAAAAUAUAUUUUUCAGAUUGCUGGGAUAUGAAACAGUGAGAUUAAUGCAGUGGAUACCUUUCAAGUUUAUGGUUGACUGCUAUUUUAUUUUGAGAGGCAAUGAAAAGGCCUCUGAUGCCCACAGGGAAGCAAACCGUUUGCCUGGUCUUUCUAAGAUGAAACCAGAAUGCUUAUUCUUCCUGGGAUUCGUGCAGCUAUAAUUUCCCUGAACAAAAAAGAGAAAGAAAGGUAGCUUAAAAAUUUCAGUCUUCGGAGAAAAAUGGGCAUUGUAGUGUCAUUGGUCUUUACUUGGGUGACUGAGCAUAAGAUUUGAAUAGAGCUGGGGCGCUUACACUGUUUUACAAUAAUCUGCAGCAGAUCGUACCCUAUAGAGCUCAGAUGGAUUUGGACUGUCUACCGUCUACCUCUGAUACAACAAUUAUGCUCAUCGAAAUUGUGUUAUUUUUCUGAUAGGAAGACUGCAGGGUGAGGUGCUGACUGAGGAAGCAGAAGAAGGUUGACGUGCCGCCUGAGGAAGCAGGAGAGAUUGUGUUGUGGACUCAGUGCAGAGUUGUACCGUACGCAAAGGGUGAAGGAUCAUCAGGCCGCAUCGUGAGGAGGAAAAAAAAAAGAAUCAUCAGGCAAUUACAUCAAAGACUCGUAAUAAAGAUCUAGCAGGACAUUAUUUAACUGGUAUUGAAUGUCUAAUGACUAGGUGUUACGAGUUGGUUGUGCAUUUCCUAUUUGGUGGUUUGGAUGAAAGAUCUUUCUACCUCUUUAGUGCCCGUUUGAAUGGUUCUAUAGGAUUGGACCGAAAAUUCUAUACGACUCGUGGUUUGAGCCAUCUAUUUAAGCAUAACAUUGUAUCAAUCAAAUACCGCUCAGUCCAAAAUCCUAUAAAAAGAGAAAAGAUCUUCAUAUGCCUUUUUCUUUUUUGCAGCUUAAAACUAGAAUCUAGACCGGGUUUUAACAAACUCUUGGAAAAUACAAGAUGGAUGGGCCAAUAGGUCCGAUUCAAUAUCCAAACAUGCCCUUAGUUGAUUUGUUUCAUGCAAAUAUUGUUAUAUUGGAUCUCAGCUAGCUUUAUAUUAAUUUAAUUGCCUUUUUAUUAUGAAAAAAAGAAAGGGGGAGUAUACAAUAGUUGAAGCAAUUAGGAAAUUCAUUUUAUUUGGAAGGUAAAGGAGUGAGAUGUUCAUAAAACUUUUGCUUUAUAAGGAUUAUGGAAAAGCAUUGAGAUUCAAACUAGAAAUGCUCUAUUGAGAAUAGCACUGGAUCAAAUAAUUGGAAGAACCGUCAGAAAAAGCAUAGGCUUUCCGGAUAUCUCGGGAUCAGCUCUAGCAAAUGUUCAAUAUGAUAUGAAAAAUUUUGAUGGUAAUAUGAGAAUGACAAGUAUGAGGGCUUAAAUUGGGUCGAAGGACUGUUUCCAACCUUUUUUUUUUUUUCUCCAUUAAAUAAACUGGAGGAUACAAAAUAACUUGAUGGUAUUAUGACAACGGCAGAUGUUCAUUCUCACAUAAAUAGAAGGGCUUAACCUGGGUGCAAUCUCACAUAAAACGUUUGAUUGGUAUUAUGACAAUGACAAGCAAAUUUUAAGAACUUUGGGUCGGAGUCCUUUUCCUUUUUCCUCUUUGAUGGGCAAAAUAAAUGGUGCAUAACUACAUUAGAAAUAAAUGAUAUCAAUUUUGGCAGUUACAUUAGUGAGCAAAAUUGGGUUGGUGGGACCAUAUGUUUAGCCAUUCAAUAGUCCGAACAGGUCAUUUAAUUCGUAACAUUGUGUGUCAGGAACUACCAUUAAAGAAAGAGCAAGUCCUUUCGCAACUCUCAACUCAUCAUUCAUAUGACAGAAAUAGAGACAGUAGAAAACCUGUCUGCGUUAUCUACCACUGUAGACCAUGUGCCAUAGAUUCAACUGCCACCAUGUCAAACCAACCAGAGAAAAAGGAUGAUGGUCCAACUUCUAUGUAGAGAAACAGUAGUAACUGCAGGUGUAUAUCUCUAACUUAAUUGGGUGUCCUGAUUCCCCUCUGAUUUAUUGAAACCUUUGCAUGGCCUGAGAAGAUGUUAGUGGCUAGGAGACUAGAAGAAGCAAGUAGUUUCUCCAGUGUUUGAGGAUUGUCGAUUCGGUCAAAUAAAGUUAUGUAAAGACUUAGCAAGUUGGGUAUACAUAGAUGUUUUGGAUCUUUUCGUCUAGGAGGGAGACCAUUGGGUUGAUAUAGAUAGCAGGUUAAAUCUUUGUAUUUCUGAUCCGUUGUUCAGAGAGACAGUCCAUCUUUAUUAGUACUCAAAGUUCUGGCCUUUCCUGAUGGCCAUAAAAAUGUCCUGCCAUCUGUGAAGGCACAUGGUGCCUGAGACCUCGCCUUGAGAAAUUUUGGCUAUUGAUUCAAUUUGUGUGUGUUGUUGAGCUUGUCCGCGCCUUUCAACCUUUUCUUGGCAGCUUUCCCUUUUUUGAAUGUUGGAGUCAAGGAUGUUAGGCUUAUCAUUUGUAUGACAUCCCCCACCCUGGAUCCCGUCUCUCUUUCUCUUCCAACAAGACUUGUUUCUUCCACAGCUCAGUUUGGUUAUAAGAGUUGGAUUUAGUACAAUUUAGGCUUGAGCUAGGUCAUUGAUCAAGCAUCGAACUUUUUUUCUUAAUUAUGAUAAAAAUAUAAAUAACUAAAGAAGCUAAAAUGUAGCUCCUCAGUCCAGAAAUAGUUUUAAAUCAGUGAAAACUUGGCCCCAGAUUGUUUAAGAGGUGCUGAAAUUGAAAUGUCUGUAAGCAAAAGAUGCUACCAUUCUUUCCCAACGUAUCGGAUGCUACCGUAUAUUAGAAGCAUGGCUUUGGAAGAGGUGUCGAAAUUGCGGUGUCCGUAGCACUACUUCCGAGGUUUGCAAUCUUUAGAUGAAUUUUAAGUUAAAUUUGACCUAGCCUAGAAUCUGCAUGUGCAAUGCACAUGAGAUAAUUUAUGAAUGGUGCGAGAGGGGCCAAAGACUCUAUCGAGGGUGAGAGAGAGAGAGUGAUGGUGCACCGUAAGGUGGAAGAGAUGGGCAGAGUACUCGGUGGAAGGUGGGAAAGCGGGGCAGAGUGCUCGAUGAAAAGUGGGAGAGGAGGGUGGGGCGGCGAGGAUUUUUUUCUUCUAAAAAAUUGUUGAUUGAAUGUAAGGUUGAAAAUGAUUCGGUUGGUUCGAUUUUAAAUAAUUUUUUUUGAGUAAAAUUGAUAUUUUAAUUUUAAAAAAAAUUAAAAUCAAAUAUUUGAUUAAAUAUAAUUGAUUUUUUGAUUUGAUUUUAUAUCAGUUUGAUUUGUUCAUAUAGUAUUUUUAAGUAUUUGAAUGGUUUGAAUAAUUUUUCGAUUUAAGCGGAUUGAUCAAUUUGAUUUCUAUUUUUUGUUUCUUUAUUAUGGUUCAUAAUCAAAUCAAAUUUAAUUCAAGUCGGAUUGAAAUAGGAUCAAAUCAAUAUUUUAAAUUCUUAAUUCAUAUAAAAUACAUAGUAUAAUUUUGAAUAUACAUCUAACAUAAAUAUAUAUAUAUAAAUAUAUGAAGCAUGUAAUAUAGAUAUAUAUAUAAAUAUAAUAUGAUAUUUUAAUUUUAAUUUAUCGGUUCAGUUAGGUUUCGGUGGAUCACAUAAAUCAAUAAAUCAAUAAUCAAAUCGAAAUAUCAAUUUUUUUUUUUAUUCAAUCGAACCAAAUCAGUUAAACCAUCGAACCACUAUAUUUAGUUCCGUUCAGAUUGGAUUGGAUGGUUUAGAUGGUUUGAUUGAAAUUUUUUACCUCCCCCCUCCCGUGCACAUUGACGUGGCAAGUUGGUAGAUUUGGUGAAAAAAAAGUAGCUUGUUAUGUUGCUAUAGGCUGAUAAACAGGAUAUAAUUUCUCCUUCUAGCCAGAAUUUUAAAUAUAUAGGUUGAAAUGCUUUAAAUACACGACCAAAAAGAACAAUAGCUGGCCAACAAAGAAAUGCCUCGGUGAUAAGAUUGGCUCAAUUCAUCAUUUCUUACACUGAGCGGCUAGAGUUUUUUUAACCCCCAACCCACCUCCCAAACCAAAAAUCAAAAAGAAAAGCUAAGUAGAUGCAUCUAGAUGCAUCUAGCAUUUUCGUGAAUAAGCUAAGUAAUCCAUUGUUAGCAAACAAGAUCUCAACACAUAUCAUGCAUGUGAUUUAUUCAAUAAGACUUGGAUCCCAUCACUCAAAGGUUAGAAGAUCUGAUAAAUGUAAAAAAAAUAUAUUUUCAUCAAAAAGGUAAAUAUAUAUAUAUAUAUAUAUAACUUAUUUAUUAGAAAAAGUUGACAUUUAUAAUCAUAGAUAAAUGGCUCAGGUCAAACUUGCAGUUCAUGGCACAAGGUACUUGUGCCCUAAACUUAAUUUCCUCAAGCUAAACGCAUGCAUUGUCACCCUGUUGCUGGUUCAUGUACCUUUGUCACAACUUACAAGUCAUGAUACGAAAUUCUGGUUUGAGGAUUUCGUUUUUUCGCGAGACUAAGUUGUUUAUACUGUGUUGAUCUACGUUCUAAUCAAUCCUUAGGCUGAAACCAAUUACUCAUCCAAUUUGUUUCAACGCCUAAUCGAAUGACACCUAGCCCAUUCCAUGAAAGGGACCUGCCUUGCCACCGGUGGCGAGAGCCAGGACCGCAAUGCUGGGGCCCUAGAGCAUGACGCGCGCCCUCCAUGCACCGGACUCGUCCGUGCGGUACACUGGGGCGUUGGGUGCAUCGCACAUGCAUGUCCCCUUGUAGCUGUGCGCAUGGAGGUGGCACUCACAAUUGAUAGUAGGGUAAACCCGUUGCCUAAUUAUUCUAUAGAUGUUUAGCAUCACCGUGCAACAUGGCAUUUUGUGAACGGGAAAUGCUAUAAUCGAACUUUUUCAAUACCGAAUAUGUCUUUGUUUAAAGAAUAAUUUCCGCUGCAUGAUCUUUCAUGGUCCCUGUGUCUCACCAGUCUCCCAUGUGUUAUGCACAUUCUAGAAAAUGCUUUCGGUUCGUUCUCUCAAGGAAAGGAGUUGCACCCAGUUCUCUUUGAUUAAGAAUUAUUCUAAUAAAGCAUGAAAGGCAGCUGAAAUUAUUAAUAUCUUGAAACAUGGACCAUAAUAUAUGUUGAGGGAUAUAAGGUUUUAUAAAAAAUACUUGGGGCAUGUUUGGAUGUUUUUAAAGAACUAAGCUGAAAAUCAUGCAGGAAUCGAAUCUGUUGCUCCAUCUUCUAAAACCAUAUCCAAACACAGACUCAGAUGCUAAUCUUUAGGCUGAGGAAGAAAAUAAAGAUCCAUAGAGGUUUUUUUCCCUUCUCAUAUAGUAUUUAAGUUGGGUGGAAUUUGGUUGAUACUACUUAAAUGGAUGGUCUAAUCUACAAAUCCUACAAGAUUUUCGGUCUAUAGGAAUAGUCAAACAUGCCCUUAGAAAGUCUCCAUGAACCUUCUUCACUUAAUUAUCAAGGACUUUUUUUGGGGGGAGAGAUAAAUCGAGGACUUUUUCUAAGAACACUAGAACAUUACACUGAAGGCAUUCGCCCUUCUUUAUAAGCAGAUAAAGGGGGACCCCGAUGAAUGAUCUGAUGCUGCUUUUGAAUCAAAAUACCAAGGCAUGCCCUUGUUCAUCUCCGUAUUUCCAUAUUUUCACCAUCCAUGUAUUUUGUUGUUGCUUGCACCUCAUCCAACGGCUAUCAAGCUUAUUCAAUGGAGCAAAUCAAGUUAAUCCAAGUAGUUAUAAUUUCCUAGUUCUAAUAUUGAUAAAUCCAGCAAUCAAGCCCAAUGGUAAAGAAUCAUGCAAGGUACAACAGUGACCUUCAUAACCAUACAGCCCAUGAAUACAACUCCGAAGGACCCCCUGCAGAUUGUACCGUCCUCAUCUCUCAUCCUAACAAGAAGACAACACACCGCGCUUCCCUUGCAUGGAUAGGUUAAAAUGCUUCAAGACAGAGCAGAUGAUACGAACCAAAACCAAACAACCGCUUGCAGCAAAUAUCAUAAAACCACAGCCACACCUCAUUGCACUAACAAACAACUUUUAAGUAAUAAUACUAACAAAAGGCAAUUGGAUUUCUGUACCCCUAAAAUCGAAAACUUUUACACCAUUUUACCAAUCCAACCCCAUCCCUUUCUACAACCCCCACCCACCACACCAAACCCAAACCAAGUCAGUAAAUGAUAGCUAGGAAAGAAGAAGAAAAAAAAACAAAGAAAGAAAUUAUUAAUUCCAUUGUUAAUUGAGGCCUAAUCCUAGGUUAGAUUAGACACUGUAGAUAAUUAGGAAGCAAGGGAGCACCGCCCGAGGGUCGAACACAACGAGCUCUCCUUUCGGAAGGGACACCGACUCGCCGGCCGACUCGGGGUCCGACCCGGUCCGAACACGGCCCGCGAUGACCCGGCAAACCAGCAUUGCCCUCCGGCCGGCCCCGCCGCCGGCGCUCUCGUGGGCCCGGCCGCUCCCAGCGAAGGUCCGGACUCCCCCCGCCUUCCCCCCCCGGCGACCACACCUCGCAGCACGCCACCCCGCCGUCGUAGAUCGCGUCGCUGGAGGCGGAGGAGCUGGGAGCGCAGUGGAAGCGCAUCAUCUCGUUGCCGUCGGCGGCGCAGCGGGCGUCGUCGGAGUGGGAGGCGGCACAGCGAGCGCGCACCGCGGUCCGGUACUCCUCGAACCGGGCGACGGUCCGGGGCGGGUUGUGGACCCGGAAGAGCAUCUCGAUCUCGCCCGGGAACGCCGCGCCCCGGGACGACCAGCUCGAGCUGAAGAUGAUCUCCACCACCCGCCGGGACGAGUGGCCGGCCGGCAGCUCGGUCAGGGUAGGGAAAUGGUGGGAGUGCGCCGGGCCCGGCGCCGAGGGCGAGGGCGGGGCCGGCGGGGGCUUGGGUUUGGGUUUGGGUCUGGUUCUGGGUCGGGGUUUGGUUUGGGGUGGCGGGGUGGGCUUGGGGGAUGGCUUUUUAGGAAGAGACGAGGGAUGCUUAGGCAAAAGAAAGACGACGUCUUUGAGGGCGUGGGAGGAGUUGGCGCAGGAGAGCGGGAGGAGGGGCUUCUUAGACGGCGUCGGGGGGUAGACGUCUUCCAGGGCGUUGGAUUUGCACUGGAGGGAUUUAACCCAGCCCGUCGCCAUUAACGGCGGGGAGGAACAAAGGGAUUCGGAACAAAUAAGAGAAAGAGCGAGCGGGAUAAACGGACCAAGGCCCAAGGGACAAAGAGGUAAUGUUUGGGUGAGGGGUUUUGAGGUUGGAAAAGGUGGGGGUCCAGAGGAGGAGGAGGAGGUGGUGGUGGAGGAGGUGGGUAUUUGGUUGUUUGCUUUGGCGGUGCUUUUAUGUGCUGGUUCCGUGGAUGAUUUCCUUUUUCAUUCAUUGCUGCGAGGUUUUACGGCUCUGGGUAGGUGCACAGUGCAAUUGCAAAGCCAGUGGGGCUCUUGGCUGUAAAUGUCCUUUUUUUGUGCUCGGACCGAGCUAGGCUUUAGCAUGUGAGCUACUGGGUUCCCAAAUUAGGCCCAUUUAGUGGUCCAGAUCUCAGUUUGUGUUGGAGCGUGUCUGUUUGUUACUUGUAUGGUUUUGACUUUUAUUAGGAGGGUGAUCAUGCAUGGAUGAUUUCUAAGGUUGAGUAAGAGUAUUUGUGCAUAUCAUACCUGAUUGCGUCAAUUAUCAUGGCAGUGAUUAUAACAAUCUUGGUCAAGUAAAUGGUACGUGAUUAGUUGGUCAGCACCUAAUUAUCGCAUGUAGUUGAUGGGCAUCGGAACAUUUGCCGGUGCUCAUCGGAACAGCCGGAUGUGUAUUGCUGGUAAAUGAGAUGCGUGAUUACCUUGUCGCCGUUGCCUUACCCUUUUUUUUUACUAAAGUUCGUUAAUUUAUAUGUUGUGCAUUUCUUGCACGCAUGCAUGUAUUUUAUGUGUCAUAUUUCCUAUUUCAGAGUGAUUCCUGAAAUUCUUUUAGUAGGAGUGCUGAUGCAUGCCCCAGCCAGUGAGUUUCAUCAGUAGAUUGUCACUAUAAGGCCUUUGACAACAGAAAAAAACUAUGGCUCUUUUUUUUGCAGUCCCUGUGUCUCAAAUUAUUAUUUUUUUUUUGAGAGCCACCAUCUCCUGUUUGCUAAAGGUUAAUUUCGAUGGCAGUGUGCAUAGUCAAGAUAGUAUUGAUGGUUUUAGCUUUGUUAUUCAUAGUGUCUGGUAUUUUUAUUGCAAUCGAAGAGGUUCAAAUUUUUGAUACUAUAAUGCCUGUGGUGGAAUUGCAUGCUGCAUAGGAAGGUUUGUCAUUGGAUGUCUAUAACUUGUAUGUUUCGCAAAUUUGAGUGGAAGGUGAUUUUAUGAUGGUUGUUAAAUGACUUUCUGAUCUAUAGUUAGAUUAUUAUAGGAGGUGUUGGGUUAGAUCCUUGUCGCUUCGCCAACUAUCUUUCUCUUCCUCGUCUCCCUUUCGAUUAAGUGUGCGACAAUCAUCUUUCGUCUUUGUCUUCCUCCCAACUAAGCGCAUGACAUUAUCGAUUAGGCCAACUUAAAUUGCGGAGUAUGACCAAGUCGGCAUUUGAUCGACUUGGUUUGACGUUUAGUCCAUGUCUAGCUGACAAUGUUCGAGGUCGAGAUGGCGACAUUAUGCUGACUAUUUUAAUGUCAUAAGUCUGGAGAUCGAACGACGGUUAUUCGGUACAAGUAUUAACUACCCACAGUCAUGAGGUGUAAUAGUCGUCUACGAAUGGAUCACUACUCGACCUUAAUGCCUGAUAAUGGGGUAACCACCUAGUAAAUGUCAUAACUUCCACGUCUCAAAUAUUCAAGGACGAGAGUUACAUGGCAACGAUAUUCUCCACCCUAUAAAUAAUCUUAAGUAAAAGGGGACUAGAUAAGUUUUACUGAUUAGAAGCUUUUGGUUCUUUACUGUUCUCUUUCUCCGAUUGACUUAAGCAUCGGGGGGUCCUUCAUCAAAAAAUUUUCUAUAAGUGAACUUCAUUUUGUAGGUUUCCUGCUGCUCAGCUCUCAGGCGCUACAUCUCGACUCACCAUCGAUCAUCUUAUCGGAGAUCGGCAACAACAAGAGACAUCUAUUAUUGUAGGAUUGUUAGAGGAUGUUGGGCUUUAUGUCUAUUGCUGAAGUUCUACAUAUAUAUUGGGAAGCUAAUAGUGCUGUUGAUUGGAUGACCUCUUUCAUGGCUGAGCAUUUUGGAUCAAUAUUAUAAAAAUUUAUGAUUAAUUUAUCUUUUUAAUUUUUAGAUAUUUAAAUUUUUGAUUUUUAGAGAUGUAUUUACACCCCCAUUCCCGCCCCCCAAUUAAAAAAAAAAAAAAAAAAAAAAAAAAAGAAAAAGNNNNNNNNNNNNNNNNNNNNAAAAAGAGGAAAGGGUAACCCAUGGGAUCAUAUUGAAGAAGACGUGCGCGAUCUAGGUGGAAACCUUCGAUCCAAAGGGACUCAACCUAAUUCAAACCAGCAUUAUUCGCUAGGUAAUCUGCCACCUAGUUGGCUUUGCGGAAGACAUUGAUGGAGAAGAAAUUAUGCAUUCUGGCACCAGCCUCCCUUAUUUUCCUUAAAGCAGGGUGGAGAGUAGCAAUGCCAAUCAAUCCAGGUCACUGUUGCCAUCGAGUCACUCUCCAAAACUAUAUCAUCCUCUUGUAUGAGGGGUACGGCCAUCCUGAGUCCAAGCCAAGCUGCCGUAACCUCCACCUGUAGCACUGAGUUCAUGUAAACUGUCCAAGCUGCCGUAACCUCCAUCUACGGCACUGAGUUCAUGUAAACUGGAAUAAAAGCUGUGAGGAAGCCAGCGUUCCAAUUUAUCAAAAUUAACUUUACUAUGACCUGGUUGUGGGGCUUCCAAGCAGUAAGUAUGUGUUGAGGAGGGGCCUCAAACAGUCGCGGCAUGUGGCAGCUCCAGAUUCCGGUGCCCAACAACUUUGAUUGAUCCAGGAUCGAUCGUGUGUGUUAAAAAACUAGCUUUAGAAAUUGCCUCUAGAGGAUCCACAACACGAUCCUGUCCUCUUGUAAUUAGAUUUUUGUUGAAUUCUCUAUCAUCCACUAUUUAAGCGCCGGAGCCUUGCCUAAUUGCUUGACUCUCAAUAGGUAUAUUUUUGGCGGGGCUCCAUUUUGUAGCCAAUUUUUAUUUCACAAUCACCCAUCAAAGACUCCAUCUUUUUAAAUAACUGAUGCUACACAUGCAAAAAGGGAAAAAAGAAAAAACUUUAAUUAAAGUGUCUUCUACCAACGGAGCCAGACGAACCAACUUUGAUCAAGCAUCACAAAGUGAGGUGGUGAUGGAGCAGAAAACAAUCCGGAUGCAGUUAGAAGAGUUAUUUCAACCUCUCAGAUAUUAGUGUUACUUUUCGUUUUAAAUCAAAUGCCAUUUCAAAUUACUCUAUUCUAUGAAUUUUGAGUUGCAUUCCUGCUGUCCUAAAUCAACUUAAUCUUUGAAAUUAACUUGUAAAUUACAGUUAUCUACAGCCAAGGAAAUUGGACAGCAUUGCUUUGCAUCGUAGUCAGAAUUCUCAAUAGUUAAGUUGGUAGGUUGCUUGCCCCCACUAGUUCAUUCGUUUAGGGUGAGCACAUGAUAUCAAAAAGUUAACGGCCCAAAGCCCAUCCCUAAAAAAAAAAAACUUUCUAUAAGGUUCGAUUGGACAUGACAAAAAACGCAAUAGAUGAAAAGUAGCCCGUAAAAAUGGCAUGGGAAUAGACUAAUGUCAUGGGGUUGCGUUGAAGUCACAAUUCUCUUGGUUUUAUAUGAGCUCGAAAUGGACAAACUGUUUCUAUAUGCUCCACUCCUGACCUGUGACAACUUUCCAAAGGAGAUAAAUGCUUCCAUGUUCCUUCGCAGCUGCAUGCGGGUCAGAAGAGGACUCAAGACAUGGACAGAUGAUGUGGAUUUGUGGAAACAAGUUCCAUCAAAUGGUUGCUCUCAAUGUGAGAACCCUUUCAAAUUUUCUUUGCUAGUACUUGAGUAAAGGAAGGCCGAAAGCAUGUAUUCCAUCUAUUGGAUACAUCAUUGCAUGGAUAAGAAAUGACCUUAUCAAUAACGACUACUUUUUUGUUCCAUGACAAAGGCAUCAUCAGGUGCAAAUGGACUGGUGAUUGUUAUUGUUCCAAUCAGAGUGAUGGAACGGAAUUUGAUGUUAGCUCUGAGAGAAAAAAGGGGAAAAUAAAAGAAAAAUCCAACCUCUUCCCUUGCUGAAAUCACUAAAACAUUCAAAAUGGGAUUAUGCAGUUGAUUUGGUGUGCUUUGCUUUUUCUGUUAUAAUGAUGUACUCAGGUGAAGUCUCUUUCUUUGAGUAGGGUACUAAAAUGAAAUUUUAAAAUGACUCAACCGGCAUUGGGCUCGAUUUCUACAAAAUUUUAGGAGAGUGUCAAAAUCAACACCUAGUCUACAUGCAAAGUUAGGCAAAGAUAACAAAGAAAGCGUGUUCAUUUAGCUUUCCAACAGGUAUUCAUCUAUGCAGACAAAUUGAUACUAGACCUAACCUUGAUGGCUAUUGUUCUUUGCUGUUGCUUAUAAACCAAGACUAGACUUGGUUUCUGUUCUCCAAAUUCUUCCACUUGAAUGUCCCAGUCUAGAUCGUUGUGUCAUGGGUGGGCUUUUUGGUCAUUCCCUUGAGGAAAGGUGGUUAUAUAGAGAAGAAAAAAGAUAAAAUGGAAGAGAGAUGGAACAGUGAAAGUUUGAACCAGAAAGAAGGUAGAGUCUCUUUUUUCUCCCACUUCCUUCAAACUAUUUGCGGAGUUCAGUGGCAGAAGUACCUGGAGAGAGGUUUGUGGGGGACAAGACCAUAAGAAAGACGACAGCUUUGAGAUUUUUGGUAUGAUGAAAGGUAGGAAUGGAGAUGCUCUACACGAGGUGGGAGACAGAAGGGUUAAUACCGCCAGCCUUUGUUUGCUCACGCCUAACCGAGAUCGGAAUGGAAUCCUCUUUGGGUGCCCCGGGAAACGCGCCGUUUGCCCCGGCGUGCGCCUCGGACGACUCGGUGGACCCGGUGGUGAGUCACUUGUCGGUCAGGCCCCGGCGAUGCCGAGUCGGGACCAGUUUACCGGAAGAAUUGUAGAAACAUGGCUUUUCUUUGUAAAUUUUAUUCUAUUUACUUUAUUAUUAUUAUUAUUAUUUGUGUUCGGGUAAAGAAAUAGCUAAUAAUUUCACCUGCAGAAAACUUCCAUUGGAGCGAGGUGAUUCUGGCAGCAGGCUUUGAAAUUUACAUUUUACCAAUGAUGCAAAUAAGUUUCUAAUGGCCCCAUGUAUUCAUUAUUAGCUAUGGUACAUUAAUCUCAAAGCCCAGCGCGACCCAAAUCUUGCUCCAGUGGAAACCAAGGUUUUCAUUGCACAAUGAAUCUAGACUGUACAUUUAGAAAGCUUUUGAUUAAAGUAUAAUAAUAGUAGUCGUAACGAUAGUAGCAGUAGUAGUAAAUGUUAAUAUAAAAAGCAUAAAUUAUAAUAGUAUAAUAAUGUUAAUCAUAGAUUUUAUUUUUAAUGAAACCCUAAACAUAGAAUAAUAUUAAUAUAACACUAUUCGAUAAAAAUGUUAACAUAAAAGGCAUAAAUUGGGGGGAAAAAAUAAAAUAACAAUAUAGCUAAAUUAUAAUGCCAUAAUGAUGAUGAUGAUGAUGAAGUGCGUAAGUUGUUUUGUGUAUUAUAACGCGACAUGUGUCUAGAAAUUGUUAUAAUGAUCAAUUUAAUGUCAUUUCUCCCAAAGUUAAUUGUAGUGAUAUGAUAGUGUUCUCUCUUUAAAACCAGUGAUCCUUUUUCCCUCCUGUGAAUUGCAUAUUUUUGCAGCUUGAAGGCUAGCUACUUCUUAAGCUUGGGAGUGCCCCGAUUAUCAGUUGCCAAAUGUUCUAUUGAAUCCUCUAUUAUUUGGGUUAGGUUUCAAGGUUAUUAUUUUAGGAGGAAUGCCAGGAGAGGUUUUAAGGUUUAACAUGAGACAGAAGGGAGGAUUACUAUUACAUCCUUCUCAUGUGCACGAAUGAAUGCUGGUUUAUGUUCUCCACUUCUCCUUAAUAAAGAAGUUCAGCCAAACGAAUUCUGGAAGGUAAAAGAAAUAAUACGUUCUUCCACACUUCCAUUCUCCUCUAAAGCAUCAAGAACAUGAUUGUUGGAAGCAUGAUUAACAAUAAAGAAUGUCUCAUUGAAGUUUAGAAUCACAUGAUGGACUUUAAUGUUUGUAUCUCUGAACCUUGCUGCUCUCCUUUCAUGGUCUAUCCCUGACUUUGGGAACUCUGCUCUAGCUAUUGGGACUUCCAACGUUCAAAUUAGCUGGAUUAUUGGCAGCCUUAGACUUGAUGAUUCCCAGGCAUAGGUGGCAUAUAUGCAAUUAAGUUCUGAUUCCUCAUGAAAUCCGGGGUGUGUAAGCCAUCAUGAGCUUUAGCGAAGGCAUGCUUAGGAGAGGACUGGUGGAAGAACGACUGUUUCAACUUCUAAAGUGGGAAAGUCUGAGGUAUUAAGUAAAGCAUAUAAAAAUUCGGACCCGCUGCAGCCAACACCAUGACUAGGGCUGCAAAUGGGCCGGGACCAAUUUGAGGCCCAUCAGCCUAGAGCACCUUGAGAUCAGACUAUGGACUAGGCCUGAAACAUUGUGGACCUAGCUCAUAUACAGAGCGCGUGUAUUUUUGGGUUGAGAUUGGGCGUAUCAUUGACCCAGGCCAAGCCCAAGGUCGGACUGAAAUAAAGGCAACAUAAGUUUGAACCCAGCCCUGGUUUCGAAGAUUAAUUUUUUCUCAUUUUUUCCCUUCUUCCUCUCUUCCCAUUCUUUCUAUCUUCCCACCCCUUUCUCUCCAACUAAUUAUCGCAAACCUUUUCUUUUUCUUGAUAGCCAUCAUAAAAACACUUCUCGCCCCUUCCAUCGCUUUCUUCACAUUCUUUGACAUGCAGUACAAUAAUAGCACACAUGAUGGUGGUGAGGCUCCAUCCGAUAGGCCCUUCGAUGACCAUAUGCGGAAACAAACCAAAAUAUCACCAUUAAUGGCGGUAAAAGACGACAUGGGGAACUGCCAUGAGCAGCUGAUCGACCAGUCACUUAUGUCUAGUUACUCAGAUUGGAUUAGGGAGGCAUUGGACAAGCUCCUGAACAAGUUCUUGAUCGUAGAUUUGGGUAUCUCUAUCCACUUAUCAUCUUCGCUAGUCAAGGAUUCCUCGCCAUGCUAGGCUAGCUUGGAAGGAGGUGGUGGGGCAGAAUAGGAGGAUCUUCCAGCAUUUCGUCAUCAACCAGCAAUAGGUGAUGGAGAUCUGAGAGGGGAUUUAGGAGGAGCAGACUCUUUAGAUUAGCUCACUCAACUACCGAAAGGAUGGGAUGCUACAUUGCAUCUUGUUCCACCCAUGCCCUAUCUUUUGGAUGGAGGAUGGAUGGAUGAUUCACUUUGUGGCCGUUCAUGUGUCGAUAGUGAGGUGGUCAAGAGGUUGGGGGUGAGAGGAAAGGAGUAUGGGGCAUGUUGUAAUGAGGUGUAUUUGGCCAGAAGCUUGAAGUCAACACUAUUGUUAGUUAAGUUUGGACCAGUCCAGUUUCUAGCCCAAAUGGGCAAAUUUGGUCUAACCCAGUCAGAUUCGGGUUCAGGCCUGGGCUCAAAUCAAACUCGAGUUUGGAUUUUUCAAAUUUUUUUUAACUUAACUCCCGCAUAAAGUCUAAAGAAAUUUUGAGCCGAAUUCAAAUAAGGGCAUAGUCGUGUCUAUUUCUAACCUUAACCAUGACCUAGCCAGGCUUGGAAGCUCAUAUACCUAAAUUUUUGUCUUACAAAGUAGAAGAUCUGCAAAUAGAAGAGAAAUUCUUUGUGCACCACGGACGGUGUAGAAAAUCCGACGUGGAGAGCACCGUCUUAUCUAAUUGGUCUAUGUAGUCACUGCUUUUCAAUACACAUUUAAUGCAUGUAGAUCAGCUUUUUCAUUUAAAAAUUUUAUACGAUGAAAGUGUCCCUAUCCUUUGAAAAAAGUUAUGACAUCCUGUGGCGUAUUAUAGUCCAGGAUGUCAUAAUAUGAUCUAAGAUAUCAUAAUAUGGAAAGAGCAUUUUUGUCCAACCACUUUUCAACACGCAUUUAAUGUCUGCAUAUCGAUUUUUUCAUUUAAAAAUUUUGAAUGACAAAAAUAUCCAUAUUUUUUGAAAAAAUUUAUGAUGUCAUGUGCAUAUUAUGACAUCUUACGUUAUAUUAUGAUAUCCUAUGGACAAAAAUUAUGACUUUUUGAAUGUAGGAUGUUAUAAUAUGGAUAUAGGAUGUUAUAAUUUUACUAAAGAACAUGAGUAUUUUGGUCAUACAAAAUUUUUAAAUGAAAAAAUCGAUCUGUAGACAUUAAAUGUGCGUUGGAAAAUGAUCACUACGUGGAUCAAUCGGAUAAGACGGUAUGCCCUACGUCAGAUAUUCUACACCAUCCGUGGUGCAUAAAGAAUUUGCCCAAGAUGGAAUGAUGCCAGGAUAAGCGUAUAAACAUUUGGGCCUGCUGGAGUCAACACCAUCAAUGGCAUAAACCAGGCUAAGCUUGGAAACCAGAGACCUUAAUUUUUAUCCAAAAAAAUAAAAGAUGGGUGGGUAAUUCUUUGUAUAUCGUGUAUAGUAUAGAAAAAGUACAUCAGUCCACUAUAUUGUAUUACGUAGUACAAUUAAUAAAGAGAUAUAUAUUUAAUAUAGUUUAAUUUUUUUCUUAAUUUUUUUUAAUCAAAAUAUUAUUUUCUAAUAUUAUGAUAUCAUAUUAUUUUUUUAUAUGAUAUCAUAGGAUGCAAAUAGGAUGUUAUAAUAUUAUUAUAACAUUUUGUUACAAUUCUGUGACAUCCUGUUGUAUGUUAUAGAUAAUUAUUGGGAUGGCAUAAAGAGUUAACAGAAUAUCAUAUAAAAUAUAGAAAGUCAUAUAUAUUAUUCAGAAUGUCAUAUAUAUUCAUAGAAAGUUAUAUAUAUUGUUUAGGAUAUUAUAUAUAUUCAUAUGAAGUCAUAUAACAUAUCAAAAAGUCAUAUAUAUUGUUCAUGAUAUCAUAUAAAGAUAUUAAAAGUCAUAUAUAUUAUUCAGAAUAUCAUAUAUAUUCACAAGAAGUCAUAUAUAUUAUUCAAGAUAUCAUAUAUAUUCACAAAAAAUUAUUUAAAGCAUCAGGCAGCUAGUAUAUUGUUCAGGAUGUCAUAUAAAGACACAAAAAGUCAUAUAAAAUAUUAGGAAGUCAUAAUAAUCAACAAAGUAUCAUACAAAGACACAGAAAGUCAUUUACAUUAUUUAGGAUGUCAUAUAUACUUACAAAAAAUCAUAGAAGAUAUCAUAAAGUAAUAAUACUAUUCUUUCUUUGUUCUAUGAAAGGAAAGGAUAUUUUUGUUAGAAAAAUUUGAUAAAAAAUAUUGAAUAGUAUUAAAUAUCUAUCUUACUAAAUCACACUACAUGAUUUAAUAUGAUUGAAUGAUGUGCUUUUUGUCAAUUUUAUUGCACCAUAUGCAAUGUAUAAAGAACUACUGUGAAGUGAAUUACGCCAGGUUUGAAAGGUGGAAGCCAUGAUCUUACAUCUUGGUUGAGAGAGAAGAGUAGGAGAGAGAAAAACAGAAUAGGAGAGCAAGUUAUUAUUUUUUCUUGGUUGGAAGUUUUUUUAUAAAAAAAAUAGAAAUAAAAAAAGAGAAACGGAGGGAAUAUAAAUCUUCUCAAAUCCACAAUCUUUUUCUCCUCCAAAUCGAGCAGAAUUGGAGAGAAAGAAAUUGAGAGUUAGUAAAUUUUUUAUAAUUUUUAUCUUAACCUUUUAAUGAUAAAGAAUAAAAUUAAUAUUACAUUUCAAUCUGAAAGCUUAUUCCAAACAUUCCACCUAAGCCUCCAAUCUAAUUACAACUCCCGUGAAUGAGAAAAAUCAACGAAAAUAAAAAAAAAAUAGAAAAAUUUAAAAUAUAAGAUUUUUUCUUGAUUUUUUCUUAUAUUUAUUAAAUUUUUUUAAGGAUAUAAUAGAAAAAAAUUAUAAUAUAUUUUUUUUCUUCUUUACUUCCAUUCAAGAAGGAAAGAAAUUAAUUUCUUUGCUUUCUUUAAACUCUCAAUCAAAAAGAAAGAGGUAUACUUUUUUUUUCUCUUCUUAUUAAUAUUUUUUUUUUAUUUCUUCUCCAAACUCCCUGUCAAGGCAUUAAUCUUUAUCUUUACUAAAAAAAAAAGAGAUAAAUUAUGUUUCUAGUCCUUAAACUAUAUCGAAUUUUUUUAAAUAAUCUUUAAACUAUAAAACUAUAACUUUUGAUCCCUAAUCUUUUUGAAUCAUCUUAAUAUUAUCCUUCGAUCAAUUUUCGAUAAUUUUUUCUCACCGAUUUAGUUGUUUCUCGCUGAACCAGUGCUUAUGUGACCAUUUUUUGGAAAGAUGGCAUUGACACGCUUAUGCGGCAAAGCAUGAACCAUAAAAUAAUUAAAAAAUAAAAAAAGAAAUGAAGAAGACUCCUGUAGGGAGUCUUCUCCUUCCUUCCGAUCGACUCCUAAAUGGAGGCGGAAUCCAUCCUGAGUGGAGAAUGAAGGAGAAAUCUGAGGGCAAUGACGGUAGUGGAGGAGGGGAAAGAAAGGACAGGGGGAGCUAGGGCCGAUGGAGUGGGGUGAGGUGGGGCAGGGUGAGGGUGGGGGAGCGGAAGAAAUUGCCAUAGAGGGAGAGGAAGAGCUUCUUUUUUUUUUGCCAUGUCAUUACAAUUGCCGGCCGACGGCCGUUGGCAGCUAAGGCGGUGAUGGCACAGCUCAGAGAACCCAAACUGACGUCGGCGGUGACCACCGGCACUGAAAAAUGCCAAAAAAAGGGCUGAACACCAAAAAAAAGAGGGAAGACUCUGAUCUCGAUUUUUCGGUGAAGCCGGCAGUCGGCGGCCGUGCACACAUGCAAAGGAAGGAAGGAGAAGAAGGGGGCGGCCGGUGGCAGUGGUUACCAGUCAAGAAAAUAUAUAUGGGAAAGAGCCCGAAAAUCAUAGCAUAGAGGAGGUUUCAUUUUUUUUUUUGGCUGUUGGCCACUCGUCGGCGUCCAUGGACUUAUUGUUGUGGGUCGUGAGGAUGUCGGCUGCUCGACCUUGGGCUCGGGUUUAAGGAAAAGCGAUGUCGGCGGCCGAAAAAUGGGAGAAAUCUCUCAGCCAAAAUAGGAGAUUCUCUUCUUUGUGGUUUUUCAGUGAGAGCGGUGGUCGGCGAUGGUGCCAACUACUACGGUAAGAAGGGAAAGAGAGAGAGAAGGAAGGAUCGGGGCCUUACCUUGGCUCUGGCAUCUCUGACUCCAAUUUCCGACGGACUAAGUGGCCCCGAUCCUUCCUCUUUGGGAUCCUCCUUGUCACCGGCUGCGCCGCUCGCUUCAAGCCCGGGUCAGGAUAGGAUGCCAGUGUGGUGGGCUUGGGUUUGAUUAGGUCGAGAAGGAGGGAAGGGGAUGAGGAGAAGGAGAGGGACUCGGUGGUGGAGAGGGAGAUCUGGAGGGCCUUGGUGAGGGCUUUGAUUUCUCUUGCAAAGACAUUGGAGAUCCACGAGUCGGAAAAGAGAGGGCUGUAGGAGGUGGAGGCACGAGGGGGCCGACGAGGUUGGGGCAAGGAGAGGGGGUGGUGUGGGGGUGCUGGGCUUUGCUACUGCAGAGAAGGACGGCGAUGCGGCCACGGAAGGAAAAGAGGAUCGUGAGGGAGAGAGAGAGUAAUUUUUUUUUAUUUUUUUAUUUCAGAUCAGCAUCGGUGAUCAUCACGUGAGCAUCGAUAAUUGUCGCAUAAAAUUUUUGAUGUAAAAAAAAUAUCAAAAAUGAUAGAAGGGUAAUAUUAAAAUAAUUUAAAAAAUUUAAAAAUUAAAACUUAGGUUUUUGUAGUCCGAGGAUUAUUUAAAAACAUCAGAUAUAGUUCGGAGGCUUCUGACAUAAUUUACGGCAAAAGAACCCUUUAUAUUUUAUCCAAAGUAGAGAACGAAGAACCCAAUGCUCCGGCAUCUAAUCUAACGUAAGAUAAUCUAAUAAAGUCGGGGAGCUACCCGGACGGCGGAAGCCGUCGCUCCCAUGGCCGCCGCCGGCGCCGCCACCAUAACGACGGUGUCGCCGCGCCGCCCCUCCCUCCUCCACCGUCUUAUCGCACUGGACACGGCCUUAUCUCUCCGCAUCUACUCGCUCUGCCGCCCCGUCCCCCGCUCCUUUCUCAAAGCCCUCGAGAUCUCCGGCGAUGGCCGCUUCUGGUUUCCCAUCCCCUUCGCCCUCCUCCCCUUUUCCUCCUCCGCCUCCUCCAUCGCUUUUUCUCUCCUCCUCGCCCUCCUCCUUGGCUCCCUUCUCGACCUCCUCCUCGUCGGCCUCGUCAAGCACCUCGUGCGCCGCCCUCGCCCCGUCUACAACAAGGGCAUGAGCCUGGCCUUCUCCGUCGACCACUGGUCCUUCCCCAGCGGCCACGCCUCCCGCGUUUUCUUCAUCGCCUCGUUCCUCCGCCUCUCCGAUGCCUCCCUCCGCCGCCUCCUUGCCGGCUGCGGCUGUAUCGGCGCCUACUACGGCGGCGACCCGGCUGAGCUCCUGGUGCGCCUCGUCUUGGUCUGGUCUGCCGCCACCUCUGCAUCUCGGGUCCUCCUCGGUAGGCAUUUCGUUCUCGAUGUCGUCGCCGGCUCUUGCUUGGGUGUCUUGGAAGCUUUCAUUGUGUUCUAUUUCUUCAACUUUUACAGGUUUUAAUAUUUUUUGCUUGGGGGAUGGUUUGUUCUAAUCUGCCAACUUUUACAGGUUUCAAUAUUGUUUGCUUGGGGGAUGGUUUGUUCUAAUCUGCUUUCUUUGACUAAAUGGGAUCUUACUUUUACUCAAUUAAGCGAUUUCCUCUUUUCUUUAAUGUUUAUAGGCUUUUUGUUAUUUGGCCAGAAUGGCAUUAAAGAAUUUAAGAUCAUUAUCGAAUAUGUUAGUGAUCCAAUGCCUAAUUUUGGCUCUCAGGUUUUAAUUAUAGAUAUCUCCAGGAAGGAUAUAGAAACAUUUUUGGAUGUUAAAACUUAUAAUUUUGUUUCAUUCAUGCGAUUGAAUCUAAUUGUUCCAGUAGAGUUUCCAAGUUCCUAGUUUAAUAGGGGGUAAUUGAUGGAUUGCGGACAUAUCAACGAAAAGCUUUUUACUUUUCAAUCAAAUAAAAUCAUUUUUCUAAAUUUCUUUUAACACAGCUGUAAUGCAUAUCAUAAUUUGCCUUUAAUAUAAUUUGAUGGGUGGCAUAUGUGCACCCUUCUCUAUCGUUGUUCUCCUUUCUUUUCAAUUUUUUUAAAAAAAGGAUGCGUAUUCACAUAGUUUCUCUAGAUGUCUCCUUGUAUCGAUUUUUGUCCUUAACGAUUUCGUUGACAAACCCUAUGGGAGAGUAGUUUGCGAUCAAUAGUAGCUCAUGGCUCCAUUUUCGGACCGGUUGCUGUCAGACUAUUGCAACACUAGUAGCAAAAUUUUUGGAGGCAAAAGAUACUAGGAUUUAGGUAUGCUCUUAAACACUUAUUUUUCAUUACUGCCUGCAUUUCUGUUUAAUGCUUCAGCACUCUUGGUUUCAGUCCCCUUCAUCUGUUUGUCAAAGUUAUGCUUUGGAUGUGAUGUUAACCUGUCAGAAGAAAACUUUGGUCUAUGAUUAUGAUAUCCGAUAACCAAGAGCAGGUGAAGUUGGUUCAACUGGUCAACCAGCAGCAGGUGUUUAUGUCGAUUAGAGACACCAUCUAAAGUGACUUGCAACAAUUCAAAUAAACUUAUAAUGAAUAUUUGAGUGGUUUUAUAUAGGUACAAUACCUUUAAAGGUCUAUUGUUCCCAGGAGGAAAAGUAAUGAAGGGAGAAAGAAGGGACACAAAAGUGAAGGAAGAUUUUAAAACCUAAGGGUUAUAGCGAGCAGUUGCAUUGUGGCUAGAAGCUUGAGAAGGGGCAGCAUUGCUAAACAUGAAAAGAAUUAUUGUAGCUCAGGGCAUAAUGUUGCAAGAAAGGGCCAUCGUCUGAAAGGUAAUCUACAGCUGUACAAUAUCCUUUGUUUUUCCUUUGUGGAUAAUCUAUAAGAUGGCGACUUAGCAAUACACUUGCUAGAGCAUUAAAAUUAAGAGGUGAUAUAGAAUGGAGAUGUAAAAGAGAGCAUGGGCCUCUCGGAAUGCCAUAGGAUAAGUCCAUUUUCUAUGAAGAAAUGCUAGAACAUUAGAAUCAAAUUACUUCAAACUUAAUCCUGGUUAGUGACUUAACUACCAAAUUUCUAGAUAAAAGA
This 37950-nucleotide long non-coding RNA is filed under the name Elaeis guineensis (African oil palm). Its description in RNAcentral is "long non-coding RNA (EGUI_LNC023751)". Lineage: Eukaryota; Viridiplantae; Streptophyta; Magnoliopsida; Arecales; Arecaceae. The record is from RNAcentral.